GGAAUAUUGGACAAUGGGGGCAACCCUGAUCCAGCCAUGCCGCGUGAGUGAAGAAGGCCUUAGGGUUGUAAAGCGCUUUCCCUGGUGAAGAUGAUGACGGUAGCCAGAGAAGAAGCCACGGCUAACACCGUACCAGCAGCCGCGGUAAUACGGAGGGGGCAAGCGUUGUUCGGAAUUACUUGGCGUAAAGGGCGCGUAGGCGGAACAUCAAGUUAGGGGUAAAAGGCCCGGGCUCAACCUGGGAACGGCCUCUAAAACUGAUGAUCUUGAGUCCGGAAGAGGAUGGCGGAAUUCCCAGUGUAGAGGUGAAAUUCGUAGAUAUUGGGAAGAACACCGGUGGCGAAGGCGGCCAUCUGGUCCGGAACUGACGCUGAGGCGCGAAAGCGUGGGGAGCAAAC
Molecule: ribosomal RNA, 398 nt
Filed under: uncultured bacterium
Lineage: Bacteria
Description: bacterial SSU rRNA
Rfam family: Bacterial small subunit ribosomal RNA
Source: RNAcentral